Non-coding RNA from Escherichia coli str. K-12 substr. MG1655, 132 nucleotides. Lineage: Bacteria; Pseudomonadati; Pseudomonadota; Gammaproteobacteria; Enterobacterales; Enterobacteriaceae. The record is from Rfam.
AUUCUGCCCAUGCGGGGAAGGAUGAGAAGCUUCGACCAAGGUUCGACUCGAGCGCCAGCGAGAGAGCGUUGCCGCAGGCAACGACCCGAAGGGCGAAGCGCGCAGCGCUGAGUAAUCCUUCCCCCACCACCA